GAUGAACGCUGGCGGCGUGCUUAACACAUGCAAGUCGAACGAAGCACUUUUACAGAUUUCUUCGGAAUGAAGUUUUAGUGACUGAGUGGCGGACGGGUGAGUAACGCGUGGGUAACCUGCCUCACACAGGGGGAUAACAGUUGGAAACGGCUGCUAAUACCGCAUAAGCGCACAGUACUGCAUGGUACGGUGUGAAAAACUCCGGUGGUGUGAGAUGGACCCGCGUCUGAUUAGCUAGUUGGCAGGGCAACGGCCUACCAAGGCGACGACCAGCAGCCGACCUGAGAGGGUGACCGGCCACAUUGGGACUGAGACACGGCCCAAACUCCUACGGGAGGCAGCAGUGGGGAAUAUUGCACAAUGGGGGAAACCCUGAUGCAGCGACGCCGCGUGAGCGAAGAAGUAUUUCGGUAUGUAAAGCUCUAUCAGCAGGGGAGAAGGAAUGACGGUACCUGACUAAGAAGCACCGGCUAAAUACGUGCCAGCCGCCGCAGUAA
RNAcentral lists this ribosomal RNA (497 nucleotides) under uncultured bacterium. Its description in RNAcentral is "partial 16S ribosomal RNA". It matches the Rfam family "Bacterial small subunit ribosomal RNA", at positions 28 to 523 of the family's 1533-position model. The record is from RNAcentral.